RNAcentral lists this unclassified non-coding RNA (263 nucleotides) under Hevea brasiliensis (rubber tree). The record is from RNAcentral. Lineage: Eukaryota; Viridiplantae; Streptophyta; Magnoliopsida; Malpighiales; Euphorbiaceae.
CGGGCGAGACUAGCAAGGAUCCAAUCUGGAAAAGGGAUUCUCCGCCCGUUUAGGAUGGAUGCCAGCAGAGAACAAAUUUUAUUGCCAUCACUUAGUAAAGCUUUCCCCUCGUUCAAAUGAACAAAAUCCAAUCUGAAGUGAACUUUACGAACUAAACUAGCACCACCUAUUUGCUUGUUGAUCAAGUUAAUAGCAGCUAGAGACUUCUUAACUUACAUUCUAACCAUAGUUUAAAUCCAAGCAUGAUCCAAUAAUAUCUAAAC